ACAGAGGGUGCAAACGUUGUUCGGAUUUACUGGGCGUAAAGCGCGUGUAGGCGGCUUUGCAAGUCGGAUGUGAAAGCCCACGGCUCAACCGUGGAAGUGCAUCCGAAACUGCAUGGCUGGAGUCUCGGAGAGGAAGGUGGAAUGCUUGGUGUAGAGGUGAAAUUCGUAGAUAUCAAGCAGAACACCUGCGGCGAAGGCGGCUCACUGGCCCGGUACUGACGCUGAGGUGCGAAAGCGUGGGGAGCAAACAGG
Molecule: ribosomal RNA, 252 nt
Filed under: uncultured bacterium
Lineage: Bacteria
Description: partial 16S ribosomal RNA
Rfam family: Bacterial small subunit ribosomal RNA
Source: RNAcentral